This is a long non-coding RNA of Oncorhynchus keta (chum salmon), 1017 nucleotides long. RefSeq lists it as uncharacterized. The record is from RefSeq and is a predicted model, not a curated record. The transcript has 5 exons. Lineage: Eukaryota; Metazoa; Chordata; Actinopteri; Salmoniformes; Salmonidae.
AAAGAGGGGAUCGGCAGGUCCUGGAUCAGUCUGAUGUCUUUAAACCAGCCUUAUUAUAGAGGGGAUCAGCAGGUCCUGGAUCAGUCUGAUGUCUUUAAACCAGCCUUAUUAUAGAGGGGAUCGGCAGGUCCUGGAUCAGUCUGAUGUCUUUAAACCAGCCUUAUUAUAGAGGGGAUCGGCAGGUCCUGGAUCAGUCUGAUGUCUUUAAACCAGCCUUAUUAUAGAGGGGAUCAGCAGGUCCUGGAUCAGUCUGAUGUCUUUAAACCAGCCUUAUUAUAGAGGGGAUCAGCAGGUCCUGGAUCAGUCUGAUGUCUUUAAACCAGCCUUAUUAUAGAGGGGAUCAGCAGGUCCUGGAUCAGUCUGAUGUCUUUAAACCAGCCUUAUUAUAGAGGGGAUCAGCAGGUCCUGGAUCAGUCUGAUGUCUUUAAACCAGCCUUAUUAUAGAGGGGAUCAGCAGGUCCUGGAUCAGUCUGAUGUCUUUAAACCAGCCUUAUUAUAGAGGGGAUCGGCAGGUCCUGGAUCAGUCUGAUGUCUUUAAACCAGCCUUAUUAUAGAGGGGAUCAGCAGGUCCUGGAUCAGUCUGAUGUCUUUAAACCAGCCUUAUUAUAGAGGGGAUCAGCAGGUCCUGGAUCAGUCUGAUGUCUUUAAACCAGCCUUAUUAUAGAGGGGAUCGGCAGGUCCUGGAUCAGUCUGAUGUCUUUAAACCAGCCUUAUUAUAGAGGGGAUCAGCAGGUCCUGGAUCAGUCUGAUGUCUUUAAACCAGCCUUAUUAUAGAGGGGAUCGGCAGGUCCUGGAUCAGUCUGAUGUCUUUAAACCAGCCUUAUUAUAGAGGGGAUCAGCAGGUCCUGGAUCAGUCUGAAGUCUUUAAACCAGUCUGAUGUCUUUAAACCAGCCUUAUUAUAGAGGGGAUCAGCAGGUCCUGGAUCAGUCUGAUGUCUUUAAACCAGCCUUAUUAUAGAGGGGAUCGGCAGGUCCUGGAUCAGUCUGAUGUCUUUAAACCAGCCUUAUUAUAGAUGG